UGGUAAUGCCGGAUGCUCCAGUUGAUCGCAUGGUCUUCUGGGAAAGCUUUCGCGGUAUGGGAUGGGGUCGCGUCCUAUCAGCUUGACGGCGGGGUAACGGCCCACCGUGGCUUCGACGGGUAGCCGGCCUGAGAGGGCGACCGGCCACAUUGGGACUGAGAUACGGCCCAGACUCCUACGGGAGGCAGCAGUGGGGAAUAUUGCACAAUGGGCGCAAGCCUGAUGCAGCGACGCCGCGUGAGGGAUGGAGGCCUUCGGGUUGUAAACCUCUUUUAUCGGGGAGCAAGCGAGAGUGAGUUUACCCGUUGAAUAAGCACCGGCUAACUACGUGCCAGCAGCCGCGGUAAUACGUAGGGUGCAAGCGUUAUCCGGAAUUAUUGGGCGUAAAGGGCUCGUAGGCGGUUCGUCGCGUCCGGUGUGAAAGUCCAUCGCUUAACGGUGGAUCCGCGCCGGGUACGGGCGGGCUUGAGUGCGGUAGGGGAGACUGGAAUUCCCGGUGUAACGGUGGAAUGUGUA
RNAcentral lists this ribosomal RNA (516 nucleotides) under Bifidobacterium longum subsp. suillum. Its description in RNAcentral is "bacterial SSU rRNA". It matches the Rfam family "Bacterial small subunit ribosomal RNA", at positions 161 to 692 of the family's 1533-position model. The record is from RNAcentral. Lineage: Bacteria; Bacillati; Actinomycetota; Actinomycetes; Bifidobacteriales; Bifidobacteriaceae.